UUUUGCAUAUCCAAAAAGCGGAGGAAAAGAAACUAACAAGGAUUCCCCUAGUAGCGGCGAGCGAAGCGGGAAGAGCUCAAAUUUAUAAUCUGGCACCUUCGGUGUCCGAGUUGUAAUCUCUAGAAAUGUUUUCCGCGUUGGACCGCACACAAGUCUGUUGGAAUACAGCGGCAUAGUGGUGAGACCCCCGUAUAUGGUGCGGACGCCCAGCGCUUUGUGAUACAUUUUCGAAGAGUCGAGUUGUUUGGGAAUGCAGCUCAAAUUGGGUGGUAAAUUCCAUCUAAAGCUAAAUAUUGGCGAGAGACCGAUAGCGAACAAGUACCGUGAGGGAAAGAUGAAAAGCACUUUGGAAAGAGAGUUAACAGUACGUGAAAUUGUUGGAAGGGAAACGCUUGAAGUCAGACUUGCUUGCCGAGCAAUCGGUUUGCAGGCCAGCAUCAGUUUUCCGGGAUGGAUAAUGGUAAAGAGAAGGUAGCAGUUUCGGCUGUGUUAUAGCUCUCUACUGGAUACAUCCUGGGGGACUGAGGAACGCAGUGUGCCUUUGGCGGGGGUUUCGACCUCUUCACACUUAGGAUGCUGGUGGAAUGGCUUUAAACGACCCGUCUUGAAACACGGACAAAA
RNAcentral lists this ribosomal RNA (621 nucleotides) under Rhodotorula mucilaginosa. RNAcentral's name for it is "partial large subunit ribosomal RNA". It matches the Rfam family "Eukaryotic large subunit ribosomal RNA", at positions 34 to 670 of the family's 3401-position model. The record is from RNAcentral. Lineage: Eukaryota; Fungi; Basidiomycota; Microbotryomycetes; Sporidiobolales; Sporidiobolaceae.